RNAcentral lists this ribosomal RNA (477 nucleotides) under uncultured bacterium. RNAcentral describes it as "partial 16S ribosomal RNA". It matches the Rfam family "Bacterial small subunit ribosomal RNA", at positions 28 to 523 of the family's 1533-position model. The record is from RNAcentral.
GACGAACGCUGGCGGCGUGCUUAACACAUGCAAGUCGAACGGUAAGGCCCUUCGGGGUACACGAGUGGCGAACGGGUGAGUAACACGUGGGUGAUCUGCCCUGCACUUCGGGAUAAGCCUGGGGAACUGGGUCUAAUACCGGAUAGGACCACUGCCUGCAUGGGUGGUGGUGGAAAGCUUUUGCGGUGUGGGAUGGGCCCGCGGCCUAUCAGCUUGUUGGGGGGGUGAUGGCCUACCAAGGCGACGAAGGGUAGCCGGCCUGGGUGGGUGAGCGGCCACACUGGGACUGAGAUACGGCCAGACUCCUACGGGAGGCAGCAGUGGGGAAUAUUGCACAAUGGGCGCAAGCCUGAUGCAGCGACGCCGCGUGAGGGAUGACGGCCUUCGGGUUGUAAACCUCUUUCAGCACCGACGAAGCGCAAGUGAUGGUAGGUGCAGAAGAAGGACCGGCCAACUACGUGCCAGCAGCCGCAGUAA